Molecule: ribosomal RNA, 465 nt
Filed under: uncultured bacterium
Lineage: Bacteria
Description: bacterial SSU rRNA
Rfam family: Bacterial small subunit ribosomal RNA
Source: RNAcentral
CCUACGGGACGCACCAGUGGGGAAUAUUGCACAAUGGGCGCAAGCCUGAUGCAGCCAUGCCGCGUGUAUGAAGAAGGCCCUCGGGUUGUAAAGUACUUUCAGCGGGGAGGAAGGGAGUAAAGUUAAUACCUUUGCUCAUUGACGUUACCCGCAGAAGAAGCACCGGCUAACUCCGUGCCAGCAGCCGCGGUAAUACGGAGGGUGCAAGCGUUAAUCGGAAUUACUGGGCGUAAAGCGCACGCAGGCGGUCUGUCAAGUCGGAUGUGAAGUCCCCGGGCUCAACCUGGGAACUGCAUUCGAAACUGGCAGGCUAGAGUCUUGUAGAGGGGGGUAGAAUUCCAGGUGUAGCGGUGAGAUGCGUAGAGAUCUGGAGGAAUACCGGUGGCGAAGGCGGCCCCCUGGACAAAGACUGACGCUCAGGUGCGAAAGCGUGGGGGGCAAACAGGAUUAGAUACCCCUGUAGUC